Monodelphis domestica (gray short-tailed opossum) is the source of this 443-nucleotide long non-coding RNA. RefSeq lists it as uncharacterized. The record is from RefSeq and is a predicted model, not a curated record. NCBI's taxonomy places the organism in Eukaryota, Metazoa, Chordata, Mammalia, Didelphimorphia, Didelphidae.
GUCUUGGUGGCCUGAGGAUUAAUACUGGGGAAGCUGGAGACUUAUUACCACAUGACCUACACUCCCAGCAGGUGGUAUAAGGAGAGAGAAGAGUGAGAAGAUCUCUAUGAACUGAUGCAGAGCAGAGUGAACCAAACCUGAAGAAGAAUUUAUACAAAGAUAAUGUUAUGAAGAAAAAUGACUUUGAAAGACUUUAGAACUUGGGACCAUCAAUGAUAAACUAUGAGUCCAAAGGAAUGAAGAUAAAUUAUGCUACUUACUGCCUGUCAGGAAUGGUUCUCUGUGAGACCUAUAAGAAGAAAUUUAGUUGAUGGAAAAAUCAAUCAAAUCAAGCUCUUAUCCAAGGAGAUUGAAGAGAACUGAGGAAAGCAAAGAAGGGGAAGAGAGCCAGAAAAAGAUGAAGAGAAAAAAAUUAAUUAAAGUUGAUCAAUAUGUUGAAAAAA